UCGGGAAUCUUGCACAAUGGGCGAAAGCCUGAUGCAGCAACGCCGCGUGAGUGAAGAAGGCCUUUGGGUUGUAAAGCUCUUUCGGCUGGGAAAAAGGGUUUUGGGGUAAACAAUCUCAAUGCUUGAUGGUACCAGAAGAAGAAGCACCUGCUAACUACGUGCCAGCAGCAGCGGUAAUACGUAGGGUGCAAGCGUUGUUCGGAAUUAUUGGGCGUAAAGCGCGCGUAGGUUGGUUAGUAAGUCGAUUGUGAAAGCCCUGGGCUCAACCCUGGAAUUGCAGUCGAUACUGCUGAUCUUGAAUGUUCGAGAGGGUGGUGGAAUUCCUGGUGUAGAAGUGAAAUUCGUAGAUAUCAGGAGGAACACCCGAGGCGAAGGCGACCACCUGGCGAAACAUUGACGC
Molecule: ribosomal RNA, 400 nt
Filed under: uncultured bacterium
Lineage: Bacteria
Description: bacterial SSU rRNA
Rfam family: Bacterial small subunit ribosomal RNA
Source: RNAcentral